UGGGGGAUAUUGCACAAUGGGCGAAAGCCUGAUGCAGCGACGCCGCGUGGGGGAUGAAGGCUUUCGGGUUGUAAACCUCUUUCGCUAUCGAACAAGGCCCGCUUAGGGUGGGUUGAGGGUAGGUGGAGAAGAAGCGCCGGCUAACUACGUGCCAGCAGCCGCGGUAAUACGUAGGGCGCGAGCGUUGUCCGGAAUUAUUGGGCGUAAAGGGCUUGUAGGCGGCUUGUUGCGCCUGCUGUGAAAACGCGGGGCUUAACUUCGCGCGUGCAGUGGGUACGGGCAGGCUUGAGUGUGGUAGGGGUGACUGGAAUUCCAGGUUUAGCGGUGGAAUGCGCAGAUAUCUGGAGGAACACCGAUGGCGAAGGCAGGUCACUGGGCCAUUACUGACGCUGAGGAGCGAAAGCAUGGGUAGCGAACAGG
This 420-nucleotide ribosomal RNA is filed under the name bacterium. Its description in RNAcentral is "partial 16S ribosomal RNA". It matches the Rfam family "Bacterial small subunit ribosomal RNA", at positions 355 to 776 of the family's 1533-position model. The record is from RNAcentral.